GUACUUGCUUAGGCAGUACCUUUUCUAAAUUGGAACGAUGCAGAGAAGAUUAGCAUGGUCCCUGCACAAGGACGACAUGCAAAUCAUGAAGCGUUCUACAUUUUU
Macrobrachium nipponense is the source of this 105-nucleotide small nuclear RNA. The record is from RefSeq and is a predicted model, not a curated record. NCBI's taxonomy places the organism in Eukaryota, Metazoa, Arthropoda, Malacostraca, Decapoda, Palaemonidae.